RNAcentral lists this ribosomal RNA (164 nucleotides) under uncultured bacterium. Its description in RNAcentral is "partial 16S rRNA". It matches the Rfam family "Bacterial small subunit ribosomal RNA", at positions 355 to 511 of the family's 1533-position model. The record is from RNAcentral.
UAGGGAAUCUUCCACAAUGGGCGCAAGCCUGAUGGAGCAACGCCGCGUGAGUGAAGAAGGUCUUCGGAUCGUAAAACUCUGUUGUUAGAGAAGAACACGAGUGAGAGUAACUGUUCAUUCGAUGACGGUAUCUAACCAGCAAGUCACGGCUAACUACGUGCCAA